AGUGGGCUGAGGUUUCUCAAAAAGGCAGAGCUGUAAUCUAGAGAAGAUGAGACUGCUGGGUCUCCUCCUGUACCUGGUGACAGCCCCCCUGGGUGUCCUGUCCGAGGUUCAGCUGCAGGAGUCUGGCCCAGGACUGGUGAAGCCCUCACAGACCCUCUCCCUCACCUGCACUGUCUCUGGAUUCUCUUUAACAAGCAAUGGUGUUCACUGGGCUCGCCAGUCUCCAGGGAAGGGGCUGGAGUGGGUCGGUGCUAUAUGGGGUGGUGGAGGUACAUACUACAACCCAUCGCUGAAAUCCCGACUCAGCAUCACCAGGGACACCUCCAAGAGCCAAGUUUAUUUAACACUGAACAGUCUCACAACCAAGGACACAGCCAUGUAUUACUGUGCGAGAGACACAGUGAGGGGAAGUCAGUGUGACCCCAAACACAAACCUCCCUGCAUCCACAUCCAGAUGCAGCUGGUAGAGUUGUGGGCUGAGCUGAGGAAGCCUAGAACCUCAGUGAAGGUCUCCUGUAAGGCUUCUGGAUACACCUUCACCGACUAUUGGACGCACUGGGUAUGA
Phyllostomus discolor (pale spear-nosed bat) is the source of this 565-nucleotide non-coding RNA. Lineage: Eukaryota; Metazoa; Chordata; Mammalia; Chiroptera; Phyllostomidae. The record is from the annotation of a RefSeq genome assembly.